UUUGUAUUGUCCAUUCUGUAGUUUAUUAAUUUUUUCCUUCUUUAGACAGUUACAAAAGAUGGUGUUGCGCUAUUUUUCUAUUAGUACCAAAAGUGUUCCGCCGCUACAAAAAGGUUGAGAACUACUGAUGUAGAACAAACUGUUGCACAGUGCAACGCGAAACGAAUGAAGUAAAUUUUUCUGUCAUCGUUGCAUCGCUCCACUUUACUUCGCGUCGCGUUGAGUGUGUCACGAUCUUUAUUUUCCUGUUUAGUUUAAAAGUAAAACAUUUAGAAAAACUUUAAUGAAAAAUUGUCACAUAACACUAAUCGAAUAACUGCAACUAAUAUAGCUCGAAAACUAAUUUUAGAUACACAUAUGAAAAUUUAGAGAAUUGCAAAACUUGAUGCUGAAUCUUAAGGAAAAAAACUCGAACUUAAUCCGAUUCUUAGUUAUAUUUCUACAGAAAUUGCGUGACUCAUUAAAACAAUUUUUAUGCGGCCACAGUAACAUUUUAUUCAUAUAUAUAUAUAUCCUAAGAGCUUUUCUGAUGCUGAAAUCUCGUAGUAUAAGUGAAAAUUCAUGUUCUUGACAAAAAAAUUUCUCAUUAUCACAAAAAUUUGCAUAUUGUUUAUAAUAAAGAUAUCUAUCGCAAAAGGAAAAGUUCCCUUUCUGGAAAAUAUCUUUGGAAAAUUUGAAACAAAAAUAUCUUUUCCUGAGUGGCGUAACAAGUGGGUGGAGGGAGCAGACCACCCCAGGCCGUUGAUCAGGGGGCCUCUGAAGAACCUUAAGUUAAUGUAUAUAUAUGUAGGAAUAUAAAAAAAGAGACUUUGUGUUCUGGGAGGAUGAUUACCUAUAAAUGUGCCGUGU
Molecule: long non-coding RNA, 849 nt
Filed under: Androctonus crassicauda
Lineage: Eukaryota; Metazoa; Arthropoda; Arachnida; Scorpiones; Buthidae
Source: RNAcentral